UUGUCUUUGGGUUUGGCAAAGCCACCCACACAGCAAAAAGCAGCCUUUUACCUCUUCAGUUUCCUGGAUGGUACCCAGGGAAUCAAUCUUCUCAUCCUGCCAAGACAGGUCACUCCUGCUGUCUGGGCCAAGAUCAACUCACAAAGCGCUCUCCAGACAACGCCAACACCUGUACCAGCUUCUGGGACUUCACUAUUGCCACCUGCCUUCUCAUCUCCCUCAAGAAACAGCUGCCUGAGGACUCCAGGAUGACAGUAAACUGGAUGCUGCUCCAGCCACACCUCUCGCUGAGCGUGAGCCCACCAAUCCAACUCCCAGUUCUCUCUUCUCCAAUGCCGCCCCAUGCCUGCAGGAAGUAGCCAGACUUGAGCCGAUGCCCCUUUAUUCAAGGAGUCUGGGAUGUUUGGGGAAAGCAUCACCCCAGGCUCUGGCACCCAUCUUUGGAGUGCCAAUGGAGCAGGAAUGGAGCAGAAAGCUCCAGCUCAAGAUCCCUCCCCUGGGAGUUGCCUUGGUCCAGACUCCACCUCCGGAAAAGCCUGCAAAACGCUGACCCCCUCCCCAGGGAGGGUCAGGACCACUCCCAUAGGCUAUUUAGGCUGCUGCCCAGAAAAGGAACACGUGGUCUCCAAGUUUUGCAUGGUCUCCCCUGUUCUUUCCUUUGCCAUGCUUCCCUGGGCCACCCAGGAGCACUGCAUUAAACAUGGGCAUCUUUUA
Molecule: non-coding RNA, 714 nt
Organism: Myodes glareolus (Bank vole)
Lineage: Eukaryota; Metazoa; Chordata; Mammalia; Rodentia; Cricetidae
Source: RefSeq, a predicted model, not a curated record